AGAGUCUGACAUUCAGCAAGGAACACACAGAGAGACUCCUGAUAGUGUGCAAGUCCCUGGAUCCAGCUGUUCCUGAUAUCAACACAUUCUAUAGCACUGAGUUAUGAAGGAGUGUAAGAUCUAAGGCAAAGCAAGACAGGAACUUUUGGGACUGGAAGAAGAUGAUAGAAACAUUUCUACAUGAACAAGUUUCGUGGAUGAAGCUGUCUGCCUGUCUCUCCAUUAGGCUAGAAGCUUUCCUCCUUUUCUGCCUGGAAAUCACACAUUGAAAGACAUAGCUCUGAAUAAUUCAAAUAUGAUAAUGUUUUCCUAUUUGCCAAUCAGUUGACUUGUUUAAUAGUAUUUUAAAAAAUAUACCUAUUUAGUGAGCCACACAUAUUUUCAAUAUUGAACAUUUUUGUAAUAUCUGACAAAAAUGGAAAUUGAAGGCAUUUGUACAUUUAAACUAUUGACAGCAAAUUUUUAUAAAAAUGUAACAUUUGUUUGGGUGGGUAGAAAUAGAUAAAUGCAAGAGAAAAUGAUGUGAACCAUAAACUCACUGACAAAUCAUGAAAUAUAAUUGUUUCAUGUCAGUGCACAUUACCUAGAAUAUGAUUUUUGAUUUCUUAAAGCAUAAUA
Long non-coding RNA from Artibeus jamaicensis (Jamaican fruit-eating bat), 618 nucleotides. RefSeq lists it as uncharacterized. NCBI's taxonomy places the organism in Eukaryota, Metazoa, Chordata, Mammalia, Chiroptera, Phyllostomidae. The transcript has 3 exons. The record is from RefSeq and is a predicted model, not a curated record.